CUGGAUCCCCCUCAGCCGUGCAUUGCUGUACGGCGCGUGCGGCUAGGGCCCAGCGUUGCUGAAUUAUUCACCCGUGUCUUUUGCGUACUUCUUGUUUCCUGGGUGGGUUCGCCCACCACCAGGACCAACCACCCAACCUUUUGUAAUUGCAAUCAGCGUCAGUAACCCACAUAAUAAUUACAACUUUCAACAACGGAUCUCUUGGUUCUGGCAUCGAUGAAGAACGCAGCGAAAUGCGAUAAGUAGUGUGAAUUGCAGAAUUCAGUGAAUCAUCGAAUCUUUGAACGCACAUUGCGCCCUUUGGUAUUCCAAAGGGCAUGCCUGUUCGAGCGUCAUUUGUACCCUCAAGCUUUGCUUGGUGUUGGGCGUCUUGUCUCUAGUUCGCUGGGGACUCGCCUUAAAGUCAUUGGCAGCCGGCCUACUGGUUUCGGAGCGCAGCACAAGUCGCGCUCUUUUCCAGCCAAGGUCAGCGUCCACCAAGCCCACAUUUUCAACUUUUGACCUCGGAUCAGGUAGGGAUACCCGCUGAACUUAAGCAUAUCAAUAAGCGGAGGAAAAGAAACCAACAGGGAUUGCCCUAGUAACGGCGAGUGAAGCGGCAACAGCUCAAAUUUGAAAUCUGGCUCUUGUAGAGUCCGAGUUGUAAUUUGCAGAGGGCGCUUUGGCUUUGGCAGCGGUCCAAGUUCCUUGGAACAGGACGUCACAGAGGGUGAGAAUCCCGUACGUGGUCGCUGGCUAUUGCCGUGUAAAGCCCCUUCGACGAGUCGAGUUGUUUGGGAAUGCAGCUCUAAAUGGGAGGUACAUUUCUUCUAAAGCUAAAUAUUGGCCAGAGACCGAUAGCGCACAAGUAGAGUGAUCG
This 859-nucleotide ribosomal RNA is filed under the name uncultured fungus. RNAcentral describes it as "eukaryotic LSU rRNA". The stretch from base 499 to 859 matches the Rfam family "Eukaryotic large subunit ribosomal RNA", at positions 1 to 359 of the family's 3401-position model. Lineage: Eukaryota; Fungi. The record is from RNAcentral.